RNAcentral lists this ribosomal RNA (230 nucleotides) under uncultured bacterium. Its description in RNAcentral is "partial 16S ribosomal RNA". It matches the Rfam family "Bacterial small subunit ribosomal RNA", at positions 562 to 791 of the family's 1533-position model. The record is from RNAcentral.
AAAGGGUGCGUAGGCGGAUUCUUAAGUCAGGGGUGAAAUCCCGAGGCUCAACCUCGGAACUGCCUUUGAUACUGGGGAUCUUGAGUCCGGAAGAGGUGAGUGGAACUGCGAGUGUAGAGGUGAAAUUCGUAGAUAUUCGCAAGAACACCAGUGGCGAAGGCGGCUCACUGGUCCGGAACUGACGCUGAGGCACGACAGCGUGGGGAGCAAACAGGAUUAGAUACCCCUGU